GUGCUUCCCCAGCUUAUAUACUAAAAUUGGAAAGACGUGGAGAAGAUUAUCAUGGUCUUUGGACAAGGAUGACAAGCAAAUUCAUGCAGUGUCUCAUAUUUUU
Small nuclear RNA from Balaenoptera musculus (blue whale), 103 nucleotides. Lineage: Eukaryota; Metazoa; Chordata; Mammalia; Artiodactyla; Balaenopteridae. The record is from Ensembl.